Molecule: ribosomal RNA, 759 nt
Filed under: uncultured Prevotella sp.
Lineage: Bacteria; Pseudomonadati; Bacteroidota; Bacteroidia; Bacteroidales; Prevotellaceae
Description: bacterial SSU rRNA
Rfam family: Bacterial small subunit ribosomal RNA
Source: RNAcentral
GAUGAACGCUAGCUACAGGCUUAACACAUGCAAGUCGAGGGGCAGCGGGUUGAAAGCUUGCUUUCAAUGCCGGCGACCGGCGCACGGGUGCGUAACGCGUAUCAAACCUGCCUCAUACUCGGGGAUAGCCUUGCGAAAGUAAGAUUAAUACCCGAUGUUAUUAGUUUGCCGCAUGGUGGACUAAUCAAAGAUUUAUCGGUAUGAGAUGGUGAUGCGUCCGAUUAGGUAGUAGGCGGGGUAACGGCCCACCUAGCCUUCGAUCGGUAGGGGUUCUGAGAGGAAGGUCCCCCACACUGGAACUGAGACACGGUCCAGACUCCUACGGGAGGCAGCAGUGAGGAAUAUUGGUCAAUGGACGCAAGUCUGAACCAGCCAAGUAGCGUGCAGGAUGACGGCCCUCCGGGUUGUAAACUGCUUUUAGUUGGGAAUAAAAAAAGGGACGUGUCCCUUAUUGUAUGUACCUUCAGAAAAAGGACCGGCUAAUUCCGUGCCAGCAGCCGCGGUAAUACGGAAGGUCCAGGCGUUAUCCGGAUUUAUUGGGUUUAAAGGGAGCGUAGGCGGAUUGUUAAGUCAGCGGUUAAAGGGUGUGGCUCAACCAUACAUUGCCGUUGAAACUGGCGAUCUUGAGUGCAGACAGGGAUGCCGGAAUUCGUGGUGUAGCGGUGAAAUGCUUAGAUAUCACGAAGAACUCCGAUCGCGAAGGCAGGUGUCCGGGGCUGCAACUGACGCUGAGGCUCGAAAGUGUGGGUAUCAAACAGG